CAGAUGGGAGCUUGCUCCCUGAUGUUAGCGGCGGACGGGUGAGUAACACGUGGGUAACCUGCCUGUAAGACUGGGAUAACUCCGGGAAACCGGGGCUAAUACCGGAUGGUUGUCUGAACCGCAUGGUUCAGACAUAAAAGGUGGCUUCGGCUACCACUUACAGAUGGACCCGCGGCGCAUUAGCUAGUUGGUGAGGUAACGGCUCACCAAGGCGACGAUGCGUAGCCGACCUGAGAGGGUGAUCGGCCACACUGGGACUGAGACACGGCCCAGACUCCUACGGGAGGCAGCAGUAGGGAAUCUUCCGCAAUGGACGAAAGUCUGACGGAGCAACGCCGCGUGAGUGAUGAAGGUUUUCGGAUCGUAAAGCUCUGUUGUUAGGGAAGAACAAGUGCCGUUCAAAUAGGGCGGCACCUUGACGGUACCGAACCAGAAAGCCACGGCUAAGCUACGUGCCAGCAGCCGCGGUAAUACGUAGGUGGCAAGCGUUGUCCGGAAUUAUUGGGCGUAAAGGGCUCGCAGGCGGUUUCUUAAGUCUGAUGUGAAAGCCCCCGGCUCAACCGGGGAGGG
RNAcentral lists this ribosomal RNA (570 nucleotides) under Bacillus amyloliquefaciens. RNAcentral's name for it is "bacterial SSU rRNA". It matches the Rfam family "Bacterial small subunit ribosomal RNA", at positions 69 to 622 of the family's 1533-position model. Lineage: Bacteria; Bacillati; Bacillota; Bacilli; Caryophanales; Bacillaceae. The record is from RNAcentral.